This 441-nucleotide ribosomal RNA is filed under the name Triticum aestivum (bread wheat). RNAcentral's name for it is "partial small subunit ribosomal RNA". The record is from RNAcentral. Lineage: Eukaryota; Viridiplantae; Streptophyta; Magnoliopsida; Poales; Poaceae.
AUCACGGUGGGGGAUGGUGCCAAAACUCUCUUCUGGCGUGACCGUUGGCUGCAUGGAGCAUCCAUUCUGGAUAUUGCACCCCUGAUACAUGGCAUGGUGGACUUGAGAAGAAGAAACCGUCGUACGGUGCAGCAAGCCUUGAAUAACAACAGUUGGAUCCAGAACUUGGAGGGAGAGCUCACUUUUACUGGACACAUCCAAUUCAUAAACCUUUGCCAGGCUAUCGCAAUGUUCCCACGGGACUCUCACACCCCAGACAAAUUCACAUGGCCUGCGGACGCUUCAGGGCAGUACACGGCUCGAUCGGUAUACAACCGGCUUUGCCAAGGUCUGGAGAGGGUGCCUUACGUUGUUUGCAUAUGGAGGAGUGUGGCGCCGCUGAAAUGCAAAAUCCAUGUCUGGCUUGCUAUCUACCAUCGGAUUUGGACGUCGGACCGGUGA